This 782-nucleotide ribosomal RNA is filed under the name uncultured Neocallimastigales. Its description in RNAcentral is "partial large subunit ribosomal RNA". It matches the Rfam family "Eukaryotic large subunit ribosomal RNA", at positions 19 to 640 of the family's 3401-position model. Lineage: Eukaryota; Fungi; Neocallimastigomycota; Neocallimastigomycetes; Neocallimastigales. The record is from RNAcentral.
CGAGCACGCGCGUGUGGCAUAUCAAUAAGCGGAGGAAAAGAAACUAACAAGGAUUCCCCUUAGUAACGGCGAGUGAAGCGGGAAGAGCUCAAAUUUGAAAUCUUCAAGGGUUCUACCUUGACGAAUUGUAGUUUAUAAGAAGUGUUUUCUGUUAGAUGGAGUGGCUAAAAGUUCUUUGGAAUAGGACAUCAUAGAGGGUGAGAAUCCCGUAUUUGGAUCCGUUACUUUCUCGCUUUGUGAUACACUUUCAAAGAGUCGGAUUGUUUGGGAAUGCAGUCCAAAAUGGGUGGUAAAUUUCAUCUAAAGCUAAAUAUUGGCGAGAGACCGAUAGCGAACAAGUACCGUGAGGGAAAGAUGAAAAGAACUUUGAAAAGAGAGUUAAACAGUACGUGAAAUUGUCAAAAGGGAAGCGUUUGACACCAGUGUUGUUUAGUUGAAAAUCAAUUAAAUAUUUUUCGAUUUUAAGUAGUAUUGACCUUAUCAGCUUGCUGCUUUUUUCUCGGAAAUUAUUUAACGCACUUUUCAGUUAACAAGUCAACAUCAAUUUCUUUUGUUGUAAAAAGGUAAGAGGAAGGUGGCUUGCGCUUCGGCUCAAGUGUUUAUAGCCUUUUACCCCUGCAAUCGGAGAGAUAGAGGUCUGCAGCGUAGAUCCUUCGGGGUUAGAUACAUUUGUGCUAAGCUAUAGCCUUGUAUAGACAACUUGUUGACUAUGCUCAGUCAUGUAGCUUACUCGCUUAUGCUAUUUUACCUACGCUUAGGAUGUUGAUGUGAUACUGCGAGCA